GGGCUGGGGAGGCUGAAGCUGCUGGUCAGGAGCGGGGGUCGGGGGUGCGGCUCUAAUGGACACUCUGUGGAACUGGAGACUGAAUUUCCCUGAGUUUGUCCUGAGCUUUUAGGCAAGAAAAGGCCUGUUUGCACCUCUCACCUUGUGUCUGGUUUGUGGCUCUUGCUGCUGGUUCCAGCCUGUGGGGAGAGCCCUGACUUGGCUGGGGGGUAAGAUCCCAGGGCUGAGGGUGCUGGUUCUGAGCCUGCAGGAGGCAGGAUCUCCAAGAGCCUCCACCGCCUGCCCUUCAACUGAUGGGAUGCCCCCCCUUCCAUUUUCUGCACUGUGGGGUUCUCCCACAGCUUCUAUUGACUGAGCCCACAGUGUCAGAGAGGGAGACUCUCCCGCCCCGCCCCCCCAGAGCCUGCAGCCCCACCAAGCAGGGGGUGCUAGGAGCGAGUGCCCCUCCCCCAGCCCAGGCCCCUCCAGCCCCCGCCCAGCAGGGGGUGCUAGGAGCGAGUGCCCCUCCCCCAGCCCAGGCCCCUCCAGCCCCCACCCAGCAGGGGGUGCUAGGACUGAGUGCCCCUCCCCCCAGCCCAGGCCCCUCCAGCCCCCGCCCAGCAGGGGGUGCUAGGAGCGAGUGCCCCUCCCCCAGCCCAGGCCCCUCCAGCCCCCACCCAGCAGGGGGUCCUAGGAGUAAGUGCCCCUCCCCCCAGCCCAGGACCCUCCAGCCCCCGCCCAGCAGGGGGUGCUAGGAGCGAGUGCCCCUCCCCCAGCCCAGGCCCCUCCAGCCCCCACCCAGCAGGGGGUGCUAAGAGGGAGUGC
This is a long non-coding RNA of Gopherus flavomarginatus (Mexican gopher tortoise), 804 nucleotides long. RefSeq lists it as uncharacterized. Lineage: Eukaryota; Metazoa; Chordata; Testudines; Testudinidae. The transcript is spliced from 3 exons. The record is from RefSeq and is a predicted model, not a curated record.